RNAcentral lists this ribosomal RNA (479 nucleotides) under uncultured bacterium. RNAcentral describes it as "partial 16S ribosomal RNA". It matches the Rfam family "Bacterial small subunit ribosomal RNA", at positions 28 to 523 of the family's 1533-position model. The record is from RNAcentral.
GACGAACGCUGGCGGCGUGCUUAACACAUGCAACUCGAGCGAUGAAGCACCUUCGGGUGUGAAUUAGCGGCGAACGGGUGAGGAACACGUGAAGAAUCUGCCUUCAACUCUGGGAUAACUCCGGGAAACCGGGGCUAAUACCGGAUAUGAGCCUUGAUCGCAUGAUCGGGGCUGGAAAGUUUUUCGGUUGAAGAUGACUUCGCGGCCUAUCAGCUUGUUGGUGAGGUAAUGGCUCACCAAGGCGACGACGGGUAGCCGGCCUGAGAGGGCGACCGGCCACACUGGGACUGAGACACGGCCCAGACUCCUACGGGAGGCAGCAGUGGGGAAUAUCGGGCAAUGGAGGAAACUCUGACCCAGCGACGCCGCGUGAGGGAUGAAGGCCUUCGGGUUGUAAACCUCUUUCAGUAGGGAAGAAGCGAAAGUGACGGUACCUACAGAAGAAGCACCGGCUAACUAUGUGCCAGCCGCCGCAGUAA